CCGCUGGUGCGUGUCGGGGAUGCGGCCGCGCAGGCGCUCGCUCCCUGGCUUCCUGGCCGGGUAGCGGGCGUUCGGCUACCGGAGUCCAGCCUAAGGGCCCAGCCGAGGUCUCCCCGCGCGAGGCGGUUGCGCUAGGUGAGCGGGUACCGCGGCCGCGCCUCCCUUGUCAUUUACUCAGCGGUCAGAGGCAUCCUGCGUCUGGGAGUCCCAAGUGCCUUCGGCUGGGUGCCCCUGUCCGAUCCUCAAAAGGAAAGCACAAAUCCCGGGUGCGAGUCUAACCCAGGACCGAACUUUCCCGCGAACCUGAAGUUACCAUGGGGCGGGAGCCACCUUAGCGCCGCGUCCGCCCGCCCCUCGCACCGGCUAGGAUGCUGCGGAAGGCAGGGGCGCCGAGAGGCAAGGGUGAAAGACGCCGUCCAUACCCCCAAAGCCCGAACCUGCAUCUCCUCUGCGAGGCGCAGGGCGGGAGGACCGCUGCAGUUGGGAGCCGGCUCCGGACAGGCAAAGCGACCCGACAGGUAACCUUCCACAGGCCCACACAUGUGUUAUCAGCCAUACCUUAGGACAGAAGGAAUGAGUUUGCAGAAAGGAUGCUCUUCAGAACUCAUGAAGACAUAAGGUGCUUCAAAAGAGGAGACUUUCGGAACAUGAGCAGGGAAAUUGUCACUUGAUAGAUGACAAGCAUUGUGAGAAACAACAGUUUGCCUUUCUUCAUUCCCUUCCUGGUUAUCUUUCCUGUCACAUGAAGAAGAAAUGAAACACCAGAGAGAAUCAGGUUAUCAUCAUCUACACCAGCCACUGUCACUGGUUAAGUAUUAGUUUAAUAUUCCAUUCUUCAUAUAAGAUGGUACCUGACCCACCAUUCCCUGUACAUGCAUUUUGAAUUGUUUCCCACACAUGGCAUUGCAGGAGAAGUUUCUUGGUCACUGUGGGGGCUGCUACUCUAAAGCAGGAGUUUUCAAUCUUCAUUGUCCUUGUUGCAGAACCCUUUGUUUAAAAGCCCAAGAUGUAAAACAGAUGAAAACAGAGCUGCUUUGUUAGAAACCAGGCACAUGAGAGGGAUCACAGUGUUUCUCUUUAGCUCCUUUGAGGACUUUGAAGACCCCUGCUCUAAUGCAAUUCUAACUUCUUGAUUGUAACAAAAUUUAGGAACACUAUGAGUUUGCCCUGAAAGGAGACUCUCCAAGUGGGGAGGCACAGAUGAUCAAGGGGCUCUGUCUGCAUCCUUUAGCUUCAUAUUCAUCUUAGUUCUUGCACAUGUUAGAUCCACUCUCAUCCUCAUGACAUACUCCUGGUAAAUCAUAGGCCCUGAAUUUCUCAUUACAGAGCUGAUCGGUUGUAAUUUCCUGCUACUAAAAGCCAAGUAAUUACACCCCAAACUUUAAGUUCAAGGAAGGAUGGAGAUUAGGCUUGUUUUGUUCAGGAUGUCAUCCCAUUGCAUAAUGUGCCUGGCAUACACUGGGAAUUCAAUAAAUAUAUGUGGACAGAAUUGAAUGAAGGCUCACAAAUGGACAACCAAUGGGGAAAAGCACAGAGACCUCAAAAAAUAUAAAAAGAGUGCAAAAGUUAAAUGCAUAGCUUUCUAGAGCAGCGAUGGCACUCUUGUCACUAAGCUUAUGAACUUGUUUCAUCUCAUUAUUCGUUUUGAGUCAGAUGCCCCCCAGAGGUUCUACUAGCUUUCCCUGGACUCUUAUGACUUACCUCCUGGCCUGCUUUUUCUUAGUACCGUCUUAAAAUUACCUUCCUGGGUAUAUUUUAUAUGCCCUUCUCUAUAAUGCACCUUGGCAUGCCCAUGAUUAAGACAAAGAGAGCAUGAUACUUUCCCGCAGCUAAUGGAGUGCUGGCCUUUGGUUUCUGGGAAUUUUUGUGUGAUUAUUUCUUUAUUCUGUCUAAGAAUUAUCAGAAAUAGGCCAGGCGUGGUGACUUAUGCCUGUAAUCCCAGCACUUUGGGUGGCUGAGGUGGGCAGACCACCUGAGGUCAGGUGUUCGAGACCAGCCUGGCCAACGUGGUGAAACUUCAUUUCUACUAAAAAUACAAAAAUUAGCUGGGUGUGGUGGUGCUACUUGGGAGGCUGAGGCAGGAGAAUCGCUUGAACCUGGGAGGCAGAAGCUGCAGUGAGCCAAGACUGGGCCACUGCACUCCAGCCUGGGUGACAG
Long non-coding RNA from Homo sapiens (human), 2157 nucleotides. The record is from Ensembl. NCBI's taxonomy places the organism in Eukaryota, Metazoa, Chordata, Mammalia, Primates, Hominidae.